Molecule: non-coding RNA, 31 nt
Filed under: Rattus norvegicus (Norway rat)
Lineage: Eukaryota; Metazoa; Chordata; Mammalia; Rodentia; Muridae
Source: RNAcentral
UCUGUGCCGAGACAACCAUCUGGGAACAGAA